Molecule: ribosomal RNA, 451 nt
Filed under: uncultured Staphylococcus sp.
Lineage: Bacteria; Bacillati; Bacillota; Bacilli; Caryophanales; Staphylococcaceae
Description: partial 16S ribosomal RNA
Source: RNAcentral
CACGUAGUUAGCCGUGGCUUUCUGAUUAGGUACCGUCAAGACGUGCACAGUUACUUACACAUUUGUUCUUCCCUAAUAACAGAGUUUUACGAUCCGAAGACCUUCAUCACUCACGCGGCGUUGCUCCGUCAGGCUUUCGCCCAUUGUUCGGAAGAUUCCCUACUGCUGCCUCCCGUAGGAGUCUGGACCGUGUCUCAGUUCCAGUGUGGCCGAUCACCCUCUCAGGUCGGCUACGUAUCGUUGCCUUGGUAAGCCAUUACCCCACCAACUAGCUAAUACGGCGCGGGUCCAUCUAUAAGUGAUAGUAAAACCAUCUUUCACUUUAGAACCAUGCGGUUCUAAAUAUUACUCCGGCAUUACGCCCCCGGGUUUCCCGGAGUUUACGUUCCAGUUCUUACUAAGGGUUAGGUUAACCCCAGUGUUACUCACCCCGUCCGCCGCUAACGUCAAA